AGAGUUUGAUCCUGGCUCAGAUUGAACGCUGGCGGCAGGCCUAACACAUGCAAGUCGGGCGGUAACAGGGAGAAGCUUGCUUCUCUGCUGACGAGCGGCGGACGGGUGAGUAAUGUAUGGGGAUCUGCCGAAUGGAAUGGGACAACAGUUGGAAACGGUAGCUAAUACCGCAUAAUGUCCACGGACCAAAGAGGGGGACCUUCGGGCCUCUUGCCAUCAGAUGUGCCCAGAUGGGAUUAGCUAGUAGGUGGGGUAACGGCUCACCUAGGCGACGAUCCCUAGCUGGUCUGAGAGGAUGACCAGCCACACUGGAACUGAGACACGGUCCAGACUCCUACGGGAGGCAGCAGUGGGGAAUAUUGCACAAUGGGCGCAAGCCUGAUGCAGCCAUGCCGCGUGUAUGAAGAAGGCCUUAGGGUUGUAAAGUACUUUCGGUGAUGAGGAAGGUACUUGGUCUAAUAGGCCAAGUAAUUGACGUUAAUUACAGAAGAAGCACCGGCUAACUCCGUGCCAGCAGCCGCGGUAAUAC
Molecule: ribosomal RNA, 529 nt
Filed under: uncultured bacterium
Lineage: Bacteria
Description: bacterial SSU rRNA
Rfam family: Bacterial small subunit ribosomal RNA
Source: RNAcentral